CACCUCAAUGUGCAAGGACAUAUAUGCGUGUUCAUAAAGGUCUUUGUAGAGAUGAAGCAGUCUCACGGAGUGUAAGGAUCGACGGCAAAAGAGGAGCACAAGACUGGAAAGACACCCAACUGGGGAAAGGAAGGCCAAGAUGAUUUCAGAGAUUCAGCUAGGCUUCAUCUCUUCCAAAUGAGGGUUUAACAUUGUGGUUGGCUAAACAAUGGCACCCGAAGAUAUCGAGGUCCUAAUCACCAAUCUCUGCCAUAUAAGCAAAAGGAGACUUUGCUGUGUAAGUGAAGGAUCUUGAGGGAGACUAAUUGUCCUGGAUCAUCUAAGUGGGCCCUAAAUGUACUUGCAAGUGUCCUUAUAAGAGGGCAGUGGAGGGAGAUUUGACCACAGAGAAGGCAAUGUGACAGAAGCAGAGAGAGAUGUGAACAUGCUACCCUGCUGGCUUUGAAGACAGAGGAGGUGGGGCAUGAGCCCCAGAAUGCAAUUCUAGAAGCUGGAAAAGUCAAGGAAAAAAGGCCUCCAGAGGGAACAGCACGCUGCCGGCACCUUGGCUUCAGCUCACGGUUUCUGGCCUCCAGAACUGUGAGAGAAUACAUUUGUGUUGUUUUAAGCCACGAAGCUUGUGGCCAUCUGCUACAGCAGCCACAGGAAACUAACACAAACAUAUUCACAGUAAAAUGUGUGAAGCGCACAAAGUGCACUAAUCUUAAGUGUAUCUUGAUCAAUUUUUACUUGUGUACACAUUUGUGAACCACAACCACAUACUUCCAGCACCCCAGAAGGUUCGCUGUGCCUUAUCCCAGUCAAUAUCCUUCCCUGAGAGGUAACUGCUAUUCUGAUUUAUCCCCAUUGAUUGGUUUCGCCUGUUCUCAAAUUUCUCAUAAUGGAAUCAUACAGUAUGAACUCAAACGUGUCUGGCUUCUUUCACUCAAUGUAACGCCUACCACGUGUUGUAUAUAUCAGUUCAUUCUUCUUAAUUACUAUGUUCUUUACUUUGGGACUUUAUUUAUCCUUUAUGAAUAAAAAUGCUAUAAACUUUCUUGUACAUGUUUUGAUGUACACAAGAGCUCACUUCUCCUGGGGACACCUAGGGGUGGGACUGCUGGGUCCCAGGGGAGGCUUAAGUUUACAGUGAAUACUGCCAAAGAGCUCUCCAAAACAAGUUAUAUCAUACACUUGCUGAGGGGGACUUGUAAAAAACACAAAUGUCCAGAUUUUACCAACCUGGAGAAAGAUUCAGUGGGUCAGAGACGGGACCUGGACAUCUACAUUAUUAAAACAUUUCACAGGUGAUCAUGUCACACAGCCCUGAUUGAGAAUCUCUGCCUUACUGGCUGCCUACUACUGCAAGGCCUUAAACUUAAGUAUUGUACAUAAAAAGUGAACACGAUCAGGUUCAUGUUUAGAUGGAGCAAAGGAAGAAAGACAAGCCAGGAACUGACUACUAACCAUAAAAGGCAGGAUGUGAGAACUAUUCUAGCUGAAGCAUAAAGGCCAAUGGGAAACUAUACACAUUAAGGAUGGAUUAAUACUAGUAAGGGGCAAGGAAUGUAAAUAGGGGAGGGAUCAUUAGACUGGGGGGGUUCCCUGAAGAGGAAGAGAUGUCACAAAAGAAGAAACGGGUCUUUUUUUGCCCCAGCCAGAAGAAGCCAACUUGAAAAACCUAUUCAUAGGCAACAACUAAUAAAAGAUGACAGAGUGCAGCUGUACCCAUUCCAAUCCUAUCCCAGAAAUCCACUGAAAUUAACAAAAAGAAGUAAAAUUAGAGAAGAAAUGAGAGAAGAAAAUCAUGAACAUAGAUCACAUCUCACUUAUGCUUUGUGUGUUUGAGCAAAAACUAAAGACAGAGGUCUAAAUACCUCCUAACACACAUAUGCUAGACUGGUAGACCCAGUGGAAAAGUAUUCACAGGCAAAUACUUGACUUAAAAGCUGGCAGCGUCAGCUCAUACCACCUCUCUUUCCAUCCAUUAUUUUUAAACAAAUAGCAAUCUUGGAUAGAACUGCUCCCACAUGGAAACUUUUGCAGAGACAGCCACAAGAGGUAACAAGUAAUAAUUAUCUACAUUUUCAAAGAAAUUGAAGAGAACAUGGACUAUAAAAAAGUUAAAAAAAAUUCAAAGAUAAAAAAAUUCAAAGAGCUGAAAAGACAUGAGAAGUAAGAUGGCAGAGACUAGGGGAAAAAAAUGGAUAUAAUAUUAAACUGCUACUGGGGGCCAGCUCCGUGGGUGAGUGGUUAAG
This is a long non-coding RNA of Equus caballus (horse), 2237 nucleotides long. RefSeq lists it as uncharacterized. The record is from RefSeq and is a predicted model, not a curated record. Lineage: Eukaryota; Metazoa; Chordata; Mammalia; Perissodactyla; Equidae.